GUGAGGAAUAUUGGUCAAUGGGCGGGAGCCUGAACCAGCCAAGUCGCGUGAAGGAAGAAGGAUCUAUGGUUCGUAAACUUCUUUUGCAGGGGAAUAAAGUGCAGGACGUGUCCUGUUUUGUAUGUACCCUGAGAAUAAGGAUCGGCUAACUCCGUGCCAGCAGCCGCGGUAAUACGGAGGAUCCGAGCGUUAUCCGGAUUUAUUGGGUUUAAAGGGUGCGUAGGUGGAUUGAUAAGUCAGCGGUGAAAGUUUGCAGCUUAACUGUAAAAAUGCCGUUGAAACUGUCGGACUUGAGUGUAAAUGAGGUAGGCGGAAUGCGUGGUGUAGCGGUGAAAUGCAUAGAUAUCACGCAGAACUCCGAUUGCGAAGGCAGCUUACUAAGCUACAACUGACACUGAAGCACGAAAGCGUGGGGAUCAAACAGGAUUAGAAACCCUUGUAGUCC
Molecule: ribosomal RNA, 445 nt
Filed under: uncultured bacterium
Lineage: Bacteria
Description: partial 16S ribosomal RNA
Rfam family: Bacterial small subunit ribosomal RNA
Source: RNAcentral